Long non-coding RNA from Oncorhynchus tshawytscha (Chinook salmon), 1051 nucleotides. Lineage: Eukaryota; Metazoa; Chordata; Actinopteri; Salmoniformes; Salmonidae. The record is from Ensembl.
CCGAAGGAAGUUAUGAAAGGGAGAAUAUGGACGAUGAUUUCAGGACUUGCUGCUAUCGAAUACAGAUCGCCCCGUGAUCAAUUUGAUCGAUUAUUAACGUUCAUUAAUACCUAAAGUUGGUUUACAAAGGUAGUUUGAAGUGUUGUGUCAAAGUUUAUAGGCAACUUUUUUAAUUUAAAAAAAUACCGUUGCGUUUUAGAAAGGUGCUUUUUCCUGGAUCAGACGGGCUUCAUAAAUGGACAUUUUGGGUAUACAUGGACGGAUUUAAUCGAAAAAAGGACCCAAUUGUGAUGUUUAUGGGACAUAUAGGAGUGCCAACAAAGAAGCUCGUCAAAGCUGCAGCCGGCUGUCACCUCACCCUACAACAGCCACUCUGCCCUGCCCUAUUCGGCUUGUCAUCUCUCCCGUCGCCUUCUUCAUCGCUCCCGAGAGAACCCGUGGAGAUGACCGGACCAAGGUGCAGCAUGCCCUCAUGCUCUCUCUGCUCAACCACAGUUGGCCACCUUGUCAUCCCCAGGUCCAAGCUCCAGAAUUUCAGUGACAGGGCCUUCUCCAGGGUUGCUCCUAGACUCUGGAACUCCCUCCCUCCAGCCAUCCGCGACUCUGAGUCCAUCAUCAUGUUUCAGUCCCGCCUAAAAACCCACCUCUUCACCAUGGCCUACCCUUACCUCCCCCUCCACCAUUCCCACACACACCUCUUCUGUUUCACACACUCGCACACACACUCACACAUACACGCAACACCUGCUCGCUCACUCACCUGCUAUCUCACUCACAUACUCACACAUCACACCCUUUCCUUGAGCCCUUCUUACCUCCAUUUAGCCCCGUUUACCUGGUUCUAACAUGCAUUAUAUGUCCUGAUCUUGUCCACAGUCUGAUUGUUCCUACAUUUUCAGACAAGUGUAGACGAUUAAAAGGAGCAUUGUGAUCAGAUCUUCCUGACCACGUCUGGAGUUGACAGUGAAACCAUUUCAAUCAUCCUGCCUUAUAAAAUCAUUGACAGGUGACACCAUUGACUUAUGGAAUAGAUAUGUGUCUUAAAAUAAAU